UCCCAGGUGGCUCAGACGGCAAAGAAUCUGCUUGUAAUGCAGGAGACCCAGGUUCAAUCUCUGGGUUGGGAA
Molecule: transfer RNA, 72 nt
Organism: Ovis aries (sheep)
Lineage: Eukaryota; Metazoa; Chordata; Mammalia; Artiodactyla; Bovidae
Rfam family: tRNA
About the family: Transfer RNA (tRNA) molecules are approximately 80 nucleotides in length. Their secondary structure includes four short double-helical elements and three loops (D, anti-codon, and T loops).
Source: Rfam